CCUACGGGAGGCAGCAGUGAGGAAUAUUGGUCAAUGGGCGCUAGCCUGAACCAGCCAAGUAGCGUGAAGGAUGACUGCCCUAUGGGUUGUAAACUUCUUUUAUAUGGGAAUAAAGUGCAGUAUGUAUACUGCUUUGCAUGUACCUUAUGAAUAAGGAUCGGCUAACUCCGUGCCAGCAGCCGCGGUAAUACGGAGGAUCCGAGCGUUAUCCGGAUUUAUUGGGUUUAAAGGGAGCGUAGGUGGAUUGUUAAGUCAGUUGUGAAAGUUUGGGGCUCAACCGUCAAAUUGCGGUUGAAACUGGCAGUCUAGAGUACAGGAGAGGUGGGCGGAAUUCGUGGUGUAGCGGUGAAAUGCUUAGAUAUCACGAAGAACUCCGAUUGCGAAGGCAGCUUACUGGACUGCCACUGACACUGAGGCUCGAAAGUGUGGGUAUCAAACAGGAUUAGAUACCCCGGUAGUC
This 460-nucleotide ribosomal RNA is filed under the name uncultured bacterium. RNAcentral's name for it is "partial 16S ribosomal RNA". It matches the Rfam family "Bacterial small subunit ribosomal RNA", at positions 338 to 795 of the family's 1533-position model. The record is from RNAcentral.